Molecule: non-coding RNA, 94 nt
Organism: Acanthosepion pharaonis
Lineage: Eukaryota; Metazoa; Mollusca; Cephalopoda; Sepiida; Sepiidae
Source: the annotation of a GenBank genome assembly
AACAUUGGUUCCCAUCCAAUCAUCGAAGUUAAGCAAUGUUGAGCCUGGUCAGUACCUAGAAGAGUGACCGCUUGAGAAUACCAGGUGUUGUAAG